AUCCUUCUAUCUCCACUGACAUCUUCCUCGGAGACAACAGGCUACACCUCUACUCCUCAAGAAAAAUGAUGAACAUCAGCUCUGAGUGCUUGCCAACCUGCGAGGUGGCAUGCACACAGCCAUACGCCUACAGCAGAAGCCUUGAACCCUGUGUUACAUCCUGUGGGGACUCGAGAGCUGUGGUGUAUCCCCCACCAGUUGUCCUCACCUUCCCAGGUCCGACCCUCGCCAGCUGUUCCCAGGAGAGCAUCGUGGGAACUUCGAUUCCCCAGCCAUACGGUCCUGCAAUCCAAUAUGGCUCUGAGGAAUCCUAUGGGAUGGGGGGCUCUGUUGGCACGUCAGGGAAUGGGGUCUCCUUUGGGGAUGGAGGGGUGUCAGGGAUGGGAGGCUACUUUGGAUCUCAGGGUUCUGUUGGAUAUGGAGGCAUGUCAGGGAUGGGGGGCUCUGCUUGGUGCGGAGGUGUGUCAGGGAUGGGGGGCUCCUUUGGAAAGGGGGGCUCCUUUGGGUUCGGGGGCUCCUCUAGGAUAGGGAGCUGUUACAGCAAGCAGUCCUACAGAAGCCACCGUGGAUCCCGCUUUGGAAUCUACAGCUCCUUUUAAAGCAGCCUGAAUGAAUCCCUGCAGACCACGCAUCGACUUGGGAGACGAAAACACCAGAUCUGAGUCUGCAGCUGGGCCUGACUUCCAGAGAUGCAAAAACCCUUUGUGUCAGUGGGAGCCUCCCUUGCUUGAAACCUCCGAAAAGUGGGCCCACGCCUCCUUUCCAUGUCAUGCCUCCUCUUCUAUCAAUAGCACUUUCAUGUAAUCCCUUCUCUCUUCAAUCGUUAUUAGCCUUGCACCAUGUCUUUCCUAGUGGAGUGGAAAUGUUUUGAGACUUGAAAGUGGAAUGUUUCUGCCAAGAUUUCAGCCUUACCUUACAAAGUACAGUGCCUUUUGUUAUCAAUGCAGAUCUUCCAUCUGCCUUUGGAUUGUGUAGUAGACCAUUAUCAGACUGUACUCUUCCAUUCUAUAAUGCUUACUUCAUGUCAUAUUAAAAGUCUUGUUGAAUUAU
Long non-coding RNA from Gallus gallus (chicken), 1050 nucleotides. RefSeq lists it as uncharacterized. The transcript has 2 exons. The record is from RefSeq and is marked validated. NCBI's taxonomy places the organism in Eukaryota, Metazoa, Chordata, Aves, Galliformes, Phasianidae.